ACUGCCUUGAACGAUUCAGACUCCAUUCUGCUUAUAUCUGUCGUAUAGACCGCAACAGAAAAUUGUUAAUAUGAAUACAAAGUUAUUUUUUUGUGUAUUAGUGCUACAUAUAUUUGCCGUUUUGGGUCAUGGUAUUGAUACGAGGCCUUCGUUAGACAGCGGGAGCGGAAUAAACAAAGAUCACCUUCUACCAGAAACGUGUGGAAGUAUUAUGGAAAAUCGUGUCUUAGGAGGCAAAUACGCUAAACUCUACGAAUUUCCUUGGAUGGCCCGUAUCGCUUAUAAUAAAAAGGAUGGUGCGCGAUUCCAAUGUUCAGGGACGAUUAUCAACUCAAAAUACAUCUUGACUACUGCCCACUGCAUUGUCAACAAAAAUAUUGUAGGUGUGAGGGUGGGAGAUCUCGACCUCAGUAGCGAUACAGACUGCGAGUUUGAACCUGGCUUAUCCGUUGUCUGUGAAAAUCAUAUUCAGGACAUGCGCGUGGAGUUGGCGAUACCCCAUAGCGAGUUUCGCCGGAGGCCACCGACAAAUGACAUUGCGUUGCUGAGAAUAGAGGGCGAGAUCGACUUUAAUCAUCCUAACGUUAAACCAAUUUGUCUACCAAUUACACCGGAACUUCAAAAUAAGGUUCUGGACUUUAAGACUGGUACAGUGGCUGGCUGGGGACUGACGGAAUUAGGCAAACUGAUGAAAGUGGACCUUCCUGUAAAAUCCCACGCAGAUUGCGAAAUGUACAUUCAGAAUAUGAGUAAGAUACGACGGAAUGAAACUUUGAAGAAUCAGUUUUGUGGAGGAGAAUUAGGAAAGGACUCGUGCAUAGGAGGCUCUGGUUGUCCUUUUAUGAUUAAAGACAUCUAUAAAGACGUGAACCGUUAUGUCCAAUAUGGAGUCGAAUCUUAUGGACCUAAUAUUUGCGGCUCUGGACCAGAAUUUUACACUGAUGUAUCAAAAUAUAUCAAAUGGAUACUGGACAAUAUUUCAGAUUAGAUGGCCAUCAGUUCUAUUACAAUAAAAACAUGUAAUGUAAAAUACCCAAAAAAAAUUUUAGAACUACAGGGACCAAACUUUUUAAAUUUGUUAUUUGCUUUGCCACGUUGAAAAUUAUCUGUCUAUUAACAAUUCUUAUAUGUUUUAAAUAAUUACAUUGACUUGGCCAUCGUAUGGAAGCACAAUGUAUCUCAACAGUAAUACAUGUUAUAUUAAAUUAGAUUGUUUAGUGA
Pieris napi is the source of this 1221-nucleotide RNA transcript. It is a transcript of the gene named serine protease easter-like, with no coding region annotated. Lineage: Eukaryota; Metazoa; Arthropoda; Insecta; Lepidoptera; Pieridae. The record is from RefSeq and is a predicted model, not a curated record. The transcript is spliced from 6 exons.